This 66-nucleotide non-coding RNA is filed under the name unclassified sequences. The record is from RNAcentral.
CGAAAAUAGAGUCGCGGGAUGGUAUCUCCCGCAAUCAUCCCUUGGAUGAUCUCUUCACAGCCACGG